CUCACCUUAUUCAGAUGGCUACUCACGGUCACCAUAUCGGCCCACCCUACCAGGCCCGAGCACCUUGUCUAAACUGACACCACCCACCUGUGUGUGGCCUCACCCGGCUUUAUUUUUCUUCUGCGCGUUGAGUGCCAUUUGGUAUGGUGUAUCUCUGCUUCUUUAUUUGUGGUCUGUUCCACCCACACCCAAAAGAAUAUAGGCUCAGUGAGGGCAAGGAUUUCCUGUCAUCCACUGCUGCGUUCCCUGUGCCUAGAACAGUAUCAGAUUCCAUAGCAGGUGCUCUGUAAACAUUUGCCAAAUGAAUGAAUGAAUGAAUGAAUGAAUGAAAACCCUUUGGAAACAUUUUCCUGAGGGUUGUUAGGGUUCGGUGAGAGAACGUAGCUACAGGACCCAGCUUUCUGUCUGACAAACAAAUGCUCAUUUCUCAUCUUCUUUCUCAAUUUCUCCGAAUCUUAGUUUACUCAUGUGUAGCAUGGGAAUACUGAGAACACCACUACUAGUAAUAAUAACAACAACAAUAAUAACACCAGGGCUCCUGACCUCAUGGAGCUACUGCAACGUCCAAAACCAGAAAGCGUUUUGCAAGCUACAAAUAUUGAUGCAGACGUGAGUAACUGUUGCCGCUCUAAGAACACAGGCAAGUGACUCCCUCCUCUCUGAGCCUCCAUUUCCUCAUCUGUAAAGUGGAGCUUGCUUGUUAGCUCCGGACUUCCUGCCUCGCCGAGUUCUUGUACGGAGUGAAUAAAGUAACGCGUGUUUCAAUGCUUUGUAAUAUCAAGUGCUUUGUAAACCAUGAAGCUGGAUGCAGAUGUAAAGAAUUGUCUGGAGCGGGCACGGGAGCAGUGAAGACACUGCAGCCUUGGAAUCCUAAAACCUUUGAGUCCCUCCUCUGACACUUUCUGACCCGGAAAGAAACUCUGGAUCUCGGUCUUGCCAUCUGUAAACGUGGGUAAUAACUGCACACGCCUCACGAUGCACGUUAUAGGCUCGGCGCCUGUCCAGCCUGGAUUGAGAGCUUCGGACCGUCGUCCGGUGGUCUGGACAGCUCCCGGAGGGCCGUCUCCUCACCAGGCCAGCGAGGCUUCCGUCUCCUCUUCAGUUGAAUGGUGAUGAUUACACCAGCCCCUCUGCGAUGCUGCGUCUUUUAAUUAAUAUUUAUAAGGCAGCUGGAGAUGCUCACUUGAAAGGGGUGGGUAAUACACGCUGACUCCAGAGUGAGUCCAGCUGUCUCAGGACCCUACUGGUGGCUUCUCCGGGUGGGUCCCAGGGUCUAAAUCUGGGCCUCAUGUUUGGUGGUCAGAAAGAUGCCAUUUUUCUAGAAAAGCUAAGCUCCACUUCCCCAGCAGAUGCGCCUGAUCGCUCAGCUCUGAGUUGGUCUGAGACACGCUACAGGCCCGGUCCCAGGGCCCCUGGUUGUGUUGUGGAAGAAGUCAGGUGUAGGAGAUAAAGCAGCCAGUGUGGCUCCAGAUUUGCCUUCACGUGUCCUAACUCGGGGCUGCACCUGGGAGGCGGGUUGAGGCCUCCGAGACGGGCUGACGGGGCGGGCCAGGCCAGGCCAGGGGGCUGCUGCUUCAGGACGGAGCCUGCCCAUUGCUCAGGCAGGGAGGGCGUGAGGGGCGAGUGGGAAGGCCAAUGCCACGCCGUCCACUCCAGGGCUUCUCUGAACCCCGGGCUGCGCCAGGCACAGGAGGCUCAAGCGCGUAAUUUGUUACUGAGACUACUGCUGCAUUACCAAAGUCACUGGAUGGACACAAGGUUAGCUGGAAAUCCUCCUUCCACUCGUUUACGUUGCCAUAGGGUUUCUUGGCUGAGAGAGAAGACGAAGUCCUUCACCGCAGGGCAUGGCUGAGCUCAUCUUCGCCGUGAGCUGGGGAGUCUCUGGGCCACUGCGGCUGCCGAGGUGGAGAACAUUCUCGUCAAAGGAAGAGGGGAAGGAAGAAGAAGUGAAUUAGAAAAUCUGAGAAAUGCAGCAAAAUCAAGAUAUUUCCAAAGUGAUCGGGGGAAGAGAAACAGUGCGAUGCUGAAUUUCUCUGGGUGCUUCAUGCCAGAGAGGAGAGAAAUGUGAUCCAGAGGAUGACAAGCGGAAAGCGGCUUGGGGUUUGGAGUCAGAUUCAUCUGGGGUCAGAUUUGACUGGG
Long non-coding RNA from Equus caballus (horse), 2139 nucleotides. The record is from Ensembl. Lineage: Eukaryota; Metazoa; Chordata; Mammalia; Perissodactyla; Equidae.